This 292-nucleotide ribosomal RNA is filed under the name uncultured bacterium. RNAcentral describes it as "partial 16S ribosomal RNA". It matches the Rfam family "Bacterial small subunit ribosomal RNA", at positions 505 to 796 of the family's 1533-position model. The record is from RNAcentral.
GUGUCAGCAGCCGCGGUAAGACGUAGGAGGCGAGCGUUAUCCGGAUUCACUGGGCGUAAAGCGCAUGUAGGCGGUUCGAUAAGUCCGCUGUUAAAGCCCCCGGCUCAACUGGGGGAGGUCAGUGGAGACUAUAGGACUUGAGGGCAACAGAGGCACGUGGAACUCCCGGUGUAGCGGUUGAAUGCGUGGAGAUCGGGAAGAACACCAGUGGCGAAGGCGACGUGCUGGGUUGCGACUGACGCUGAGAUGCGAAAGUGUGGGGAGCAAACGGGAUUAGAUACCCGAGUAGUCC